Molecule: ribosomal RNA, 741 nt
Filed under: uncultured bacterium
Lineage: Bacteria
Description: bacterial SSU rRNA
Rfam family: Bacterial small subunit ribosomal RNA
Source: RNAcentral
AAAGUUACGCUAAUACCGCAUACGAUCUAAGGAUGAAAGUGGGGGCUUCGCAAGAACCUCAUGCUCCUGGAGCGGCCGAUAUCUGAUUAGCUAGUUGGUGAGGUAAAGGCUCACCAAGGCUUCGAUCAGUAGCUGGUCUGAGAGGACGACCAGCCACACUGGAACUGAGACACGGUCCAGACUCCUACGGGAGGCAGCAGUGGGGAAUUUUGGACAAUGGGCGCAAGCCUGAUCCAGCAAUGCCGCGUGAGUGAAGAAGGCCUUCGGGUUGUAAAGCUCUUUUGUCAGGGAAGAAACGGUGGAGGUUAAUACCUUCUGCUAAUGACGGUACCUGAAGAAUAAGCACCGGCUAACUACGUGCCAGCAGCCGCGGUAAUACGUAGGGUGCAAGCGUUAAUCGGAAUUACUGGGCGUAAAGCGUGCGCAGGCGGUUUUAUAAGUUUGUCGUGAAAGCCCCGGGCUCAACCUGGGAAUGGCGAUGAAGACUGUAAGGCUAGAGUGUGUCAGAGGGGGGUAGAAUUCCACGUGUAGCAGUGAAAUGCGUAGAUAUGUGGAGGAACACCGAUGGCGAAGGCAGCCCCCUGGGAUAACACUGACGCUCAUGCACGAAAGCGUGGGGAGCAAACAAGAUUAGAUACCCUGGUAGUCCACGCCCUAAACGAUGUCUACUAGUUGUCGGGUUUUAAUUAACUUGGUAACGCAGCUAACGCGUGAAGUAGACCGCCUGGGGAGUACGGUCGC